Molecule: long non-coding RNA, 1995 nt
Organism: Macaca mulatta (Rhesus monkey)
Lineage: Eukaryota; Metazoa; Chordata; Mammalia; Primates; Cercopithecidae
Source: RefSeq, a predicted model, not a curated record
AGAGUGUGGAUAUGUGGGUGUGUGCAUGUGUGGGCAUGUGCAUGUGUGAGCGUGUGCAUGUGCAUAUGCAUGUGAAGUUGGGGGCUUCCUUACGGAUCUCCAGGGAAAGAGUUCGUUUCCCCUGGUUUAAUCCUAUUCUGGCCAACAUUCUGUUUUUGAAACCACGGAACUUCUCUUCAGGCUCCUCCCAUUGCAGGUGACGUGUCUUUCGGGGAGUUUGUCUUUCCAGAGCUGCAGCGGCUCGUUGCCUCCAGAAGCGUCGCCCCGCAGCCACUGCUCCCUGGAACUGCAGUGUCUCUGCCCCCUGCUUUGCCUCCCCUUUAUCUUAUUCCUGGAGUCUUUCCUGGCACCACAGAUGCUGUCUCCUGCCCUUCCCUCCAUUAGCUUCUUGCCUCCGUCUGGCCCAUCCAGCCCCGAGAGACGGCUGUUUCUCGGCAUCACACAGAACACCUAGGCUGGCACCACGCAGUUGUUAUUGCAAAUUAAUAUUGGGUAAUUAUUAAGAACACAAUUAAUAAUAACAAUUGUAGUUUAACAACAGAGCAAACCAUAGCUCCCUUAGAGCUUAAGGAGCUUCCCAGUAAGCUAUUAUGUGUUAACUCAUGUGUCGUUUCAAUUUCUAACUUUAAUUUAAUGACCAGACUUAAGAGUCAAGCCGGCCCCUGCCUGCGGCAAAUGAAUUCAGUUCCAGGCACAGCUGGGGAAGUGUGUCCAGCCCUGCAGUUCCUUCCACCCUGCUGAGGCGAGGGGGCCAGGUGGUGGAUGCAGCGGGAGGCCAGCCGGGGAGCUGGCUGGGCUGGGAGGACAGGGGUCCCCGACUGCUCACAGCUCUGGGUGCCGGGCUGGGGCUGGAGGGUUUGGGCGCAGGUGAUUGGGCCAAACAUGCGUCUUCCUCAGGGCUUCCUGGAGAAGACGCAACUCUCUCCUCUCCUUUCCUCCCAGGGCCCCUCACCAGGAGCGUCAUGGAGGGUGGAAGCCCCACGUGCUUGGCCCCAAGUUAUCAGCAGAACUGCUGCUGGCUCCAGGCGCCAAGGUUCCCUGCCCUCCCUAUCCUCUCCUCUCACGGGACCAGAAGCAGAGACCUGGGAGCAGACAGAGGAGAGAAGCUGAACUUGUACAGAGGAACCCAGGCCUGGCAGGUGCGGCGUGGACGCCCAGGGCCAGGAAGUCUCAUCGGGCUCCUCUCCUGUAUCUUCAGUGGCUUCUGAAUAGAUGCCAGACCACAGCCAAACCAGACUUGCCCCCUGGACCUGGCUGUAUCCACAUGAUUCCAGGGAGCCUGGAGUCCUUGGCUCAGAAGGGACCCUGGAGGUCACCUGAUCUUUCUUCUGACUCCAGUCAAGCGAAUGGUUAAAUUGGACAGGACAGUUGGAUUCAUCCUAUUUUAAAAUAUCCUUGGAGAUAGGGACUGUGUGCUCUGCCUCUGUCUGGGUUUCUGACUCCAGUGCUGCUUAAUUAUGCACUCUGCAGGGAGCACCUCCUCAUGUCCAACCUGAAUCCCUGGCUGUCCCUGUGGCCCAUUGCCUUCCAUUCUGCCCACUGGGGCCACACUGCCUCUUGUCUUCCCUGUUCUCCACUCCCCCAGGCCAGCUUAUUUCCUAGGCUGGGACCAUUAGUAUCAUUGGCCUUUGCAGAUGCUGCAUCUUAAUGACCCAGAUCAACGGCAGAGGUGCCACCUGAGCUCCACUCCCAAGCCUGGUCUGGUGGAAAGAGAUCAGGCUGAGUCAGGGCCAUGGCAUGUUCCACAUGGCACCCAAAAGGAGGUGAGUCUGCCCUUGAGUGCCUCCAAGGUUGCUUAGUCUCCGAGAGUCCUGUGCAGUGACAGUGCCCAGGCAGAAGGGCGCCCAGAGGAGCAGCCCUGUGUGUUUACUGGAUCAGUCAGACACAUUUAAGGACUAUCUGGUUUAUGCCAUGUGCUGUGCCGCAUGCUGAGAGCCGUCAGUGACUAAAUUGCAGUUCCUGCCUUCAUGAAGCUCUGUCACAAGGCAGAAACAA